AAACCAGCACCUCAAGUGGUCAGGAUGAUUAUUGGGCCUAAAGCAUCCGUAGCCUGCUCUGUAAGUUUUCGGUUAAAUCUGUACGCUCAACGUACAGGCUGUCGGGAAUACUGCAGAGCUAGGGAGUGGGAGAGGUAGACGGUACUCGGGAGGAAGUGGUAAAAUGCUUUGAUCUCUCGAUGACCACCUGUGGCGAAGGCGGUCUACCAGAACACGUCCGACGGUGAGGGAUGAAAGCUGGGGGAGCAAACAGGAUUAGAAACCCCAGAGUCC
Molecule: ribosomal RNA, 273 nt
Filed under: uncultured bacterium
Lineage: Bacteria
Description: partial 16S ribosomal RNA
Rfam family: Archaeal small subunit ribosomal RNA
Source: RNAcentral